Dromiciops gliroides (monito del monte) is the source of this 199-nucleotide small nuclear RNA. RefSeq annotates it as U2 spliceosomal RNA. Lineage: Eukaryota; Metazoa; Chordata; Mammalia; Microbiotheria; Microbiotheriidae. The record is from RefSeq and is a predicted model, not a curated record. The transcript has a single exon.
AUCACUUUCUUGGUCUUUUGGCUAAUAUCAAGUAUAGUAUCUAUUCUUAUUAGUUUAUUAUUUGAUAUUUCUUCUAUCUGAGGGCUAUAUAUUAAACAGAUGGGUUUUUUUUGGAACAGGGAUACAGAAUAGGAGGCUUGUAUGUCCACUCCAUAAAUCAACCUGAUAUUGCAGUACUUCUUGGAAUGGUGCAUUUUUC